RNAcentral lists this ribosomal RNA (396 nucleotides) under uncultured bacterium. Its description in RNAcentral is "partial 16S ribosomal RNA". It matches the Rfam family "Bacterial small subunit ribosomal RNA", at positions 523 to 918 of the family's 1533-position model. The record is from RNAcentral.
AUACGUAGGGAGCGAGCGUUAUCCGGAAUUAUUGGGUGUAAAGGGUGCGUAGGCGGGAUAUAAAGUCAGAUGUGAAAUACCAAGGCUUAACCUCGGGGCUGCAUUCAAAACUGUUGCUCUUGAGUGCAGUAGAGGCAAGCGGAAUUCCCGGUGUAGCGGUGAAAUGCGCAGAGAUCGGGAGGAACACCAGUGGCGAAGGCGGCUUGCUGGGCUGUUACUGACGCUGAGGCACGAAAGCAUGGGUAGCAAACAGGAUUAGAUACCCUGGUAGUCCAUGCUGUAAACGAUGAUUACUAGGUGUGGGUGGACUGACCCCAUCCGUGCCGGAGUUAACACAUUAAGUAAUCCACCUGGGGAGUACGGCCGCAAGGUUGAAACUCAAAUGAAUUGGCGGGG